Molecule: long non-coding RNA, 195 nt
Filed under: Marmota monax (woodchuck)
Lineage: Eukaryota; Metazoa; Chordata; Mammalia; Rodentia; Sciuridae
Source: RNAcentral
AAUGGACAAACAGCUGAAGAUCUUGCUUGGUCAUGUGGAUUUCCGGAAUGUGCUAAGUUUCUUACAACAAUUAAAUGUAUGCAGACAAUAAAAUCAAGUGAACAAUCUGACGGGGAUCACUGUGUUCCAGUGUUCAGACAGAAACGAAGUUUUGGAAGUACAGAAAAUACAAAUGGGAAAAGGAGGUGCUGGUAA